RNAcentral lists this long non-coding RNA (4582 nucleotides) under Homo sapiens (human). RNAcentral's name for it is "HSALNT0408856". The record is from RNAcentral. Lineage: Eukaryota; Metazoa; Chordata; Mammalia; Primates; Hominidae.
CGGCCUCCCAAAGUGCUGGGAUUACAGGCAUGAGCCACCACGCUCGGCCUCAGUGAUUUCUCUUCUUGCACUGUUUCUUCUGCUUUCUUUGGUUUAUUUUUUAACUUUUUUUUUAGUAGAGAUAGGGUCCCACUAGUUGUCUGGGCUGGUCUUGAACUCCUGGGAUCAAGCAAUCCUCCUGCCUCAGCCUCCCCAAGUGCUGGGAUUACAGGCAUAAGCCAUUGCGUCCAGUCCUUUGGUUUCAUUUGCUUUUCUUUUUCUAGUUGCUUGAAUCAGGAACUUAGAUUAUUAAUUUAGAUUAUUAAUUUGAGAUCUUUCCUUUUUUCUAAUAUAAGCAUCAUUUAGUAUUAUAAAUUUCUCUUUCAUGAAAUUGUAAAAUGGUAUAGCCACUUUGGAAAAUAGUUUUGUAUUUCCUCAAAAUGGUAAACAAUGAGUUAGUUACCUUAGGACCCAGCAAUUCUACUCUGAGGUAUAUACCCCGAAGAACUGAAAACACAGGGGUUCUUACCAAAACCUGCUCAGGAAUGUUCACAGCAGCAUUAUUCAUCAUAGACAAAAAGUGUAACUCCCAAAUAUCUAUCAACUGAUGAAUGGACAAAGCAAAUGUGAUACAUUCAUACAAUGUAAUAUUAUUUGACCAAGAGAUGAAGUACUGAUGUGUACCUCAAUGUGCAUGAACUUCAAAAACAUUCUAAGAAGCCAGUCAUGAAAGACUAAAUAUUGUAUGAUUCAAUUUAUAUGCAAGUACAGAAUAGGAAAAUUCAUAGAAACAGAACGUAGUUAUUUCCGGGCCCAGGGACAAAAAGGAAUAGCAAGUGACUAAGAGUAAGUAUGGGGUUUCUUUUUAGGGUGAUAGAAAUUUUAUUUUUUUUUUUUGAAACAAGGUCUCACUCUGUCAAGCAGACUGACGUACAGUGGGUGUGAUCAUAGCUCACUGCAGCCUUAACCUCCUGGGCUCGAGCAAUCCUCUUGCCUCAGCCUCCCAAGUAGCAUGGACUACAGGCACGUGCUACCUACCAUGCCUGGCUAAAAUAUUCUUAAGUUAGAUAGUGGUGACGGUUGCACAACUCUGUAAAUAUGCUUUAAAAAGAAAAAAAAACCCAAAACAUUGAAUUGCACACUAUAAAACGUAAAUUAAGCCGGGUGCAGUGGUUCAUGCCUAUAAUCCCACCACUUUGGGAUGCCAAGGCAAGAGGAUCACAUAAGCCCAGGAGCUCCAGACUGGCCUGAGCAGCGAGACCCCAUCUCUACAAAAAUAAAAUUAGCCAGGCGUGGUGGUAUGUAUUUCUAUUACUGAUUUCCAGUUUGGUUCCAUUACAGUCAGAGGACAUAUUGUGUGUGGUAGGCAGAAUAAUGGCCACCCAAAGAUGUCUACAUCUUAAUCUUUGGAACCUGUAUAUAUCUUAUGAUACAUGGCAAAGAGGAAUUAAGAUUGCAGAUGAAAUUAAAGAUGCUAAUCAGUUUACUAAAAAUAGGAGAUUGCCCUGGUUUAUCCACAUGGGCCCAAUCUAAUCAUAAAAGUGGAAGAGGUGCCAGGCAAGGUGGCUCACGCCUGUAAUCCCAGCACUUUGGGAGGCCAAGGUGGGUGGAUUACCUGAGGUCAGGAGUUCGAGACCAGCCUGAGCAACAUGGCGAAACCCCAUCUCUACUAAAAAUACAAAAUUAGCAGGGCGUGGUGGCGCAUGCCUGUAAUCAGAGCUACUUGGGAGGCUGAGACAGGAGAAUCGCUUGAACCCGGGAGGUGGAAGUUGCAAUGAGCCAAGAUCACGCCACUGCACCCCAGCCUGGGCAACAGGAGCGAAACUGGGUCUAAAAAAAAAAAAAGUGGAAGAGGGAAGCAAAAAAAAGAGUUGCAGCAUGACAAGGAUUUAAUCUGCCAUUGCUGACUUUGAAGAUGAAGGAAGCGAGACACAAGCCAAGGAAUCUGUUAGCCUCUAAAAGCUGGGAACAUCUUCAGUUUAUAGUCUACAAGUAAAUAUGGACUUCAUUCCUACAACCACAAGGAAUUGAAGUAUGUCAACAACUGAGUAAGGAAAUGGAUUCUCCCUUAGAACCUAUAGAAAGGAAUGCAGCCGGCCAGGCACAGUAGCUCAUGCCUGUAAUCCCAGAACUUUGGAGACUGAGGCAGGUGGAUCACCUGAGGUUAGGAGUUCGAGACCAGCCUGACCAACAUGGAGAAACCCCAUCUCUACUAAAAAUACAAAAUUAGCUGGGCAUGGUGGGGCAUGCCCAUAAUCCCAGCUACUCCGGAGGCUGAGGCAGGAGAAUCGCUUGAACCCGGGAGGCAGAGGUUGUGGUGAGCCGAGAUCGCACCAUUGCAGUCCAGUCUGGGCAAGAAGAGCAAAACUCCAUCUCAAAAAAAAAAAGAAAGGAAUGCAGCUCUUCUGGUGCCUUGAUUUUAACCUGAGACCCAUGUCAGACACCUGACUUACAGAAAUGUAAGAUAUUUGUAAUUAUCUAAACCACUAAAUAUGUGGUAAUUUGUUAUAGCAGCAACAGAAAAUGAAUAUGCUCUGAGUUGAAUUUUUCUUUAAUUGAGUUUUAUGACCCAGGAUAUGGUUCUAUCUUGGUGAAUAGUUUAUGGACACUUGAAAGUAACGUGUAUUCUGUUGUUGGGUAAAGUGUUCUAUAAAUGUCAAUUGGAUCCUCUUAGUUGAUGACAUUCUUCAGUUCUUCUAUAUCUUUGCUGAUUAUAUUUACAGUAGUCUGUCAAUACUGGGUGUGGAUACUGAAAUCCCAUCUACAAUUAUGGAUUUUUAAAUUUCUUCUUAAUUCUAUCAGUUUUUAUUUAUGUAGCUUAAGCUUUGUUGUUUGGUGCAUACAAAAGUAAGGAUCAUUAUGUCUUCUUUAGAUUGAUCCUUUCAUCAAUAAAUAAUGCCCCUCUUUAUCCCUAGUAAUUUUCUUUGCUUUGAAGUCUACUGCAUCUGAUAUUAAUACACUCCUGAUUAUUUCAUUAGUAUAUUAAUACUUCUAUGACACAUCUUUUUCUAUCCUUUUACUUUCAACUUACCUAUGUCAACCAUGUUUUGAAGUCAGCUUACUGUACAUAGCACAUAGUUGGAUUACAUUCUGUAUCUACUCUUCCAAUUUGUAUUACAAUUAGUGUAUUCAGAUCAUUAAAAUUCAUAAUAAUUAUUGAUGUGUUAGGGCUUAUGUUUGCCAUUUAUUUUUUUUCUGUCCCUUCUGUUUCUCAGUUUCUCAUUCCUGUUUUUCUUUACUUUCUUUCAUGUUUUUUUUUUUUUUUUUUUGAGACAGAGUCUUGCUGUGUUGCCCAGACUGGAGUGCAAUGGCGCCAUCUCGGCUCACUGCAACCUCCACCUCCCAGGUUCAACUGAAUCUCCUGCCUCAGCCUCCCGAGUAGCUGGGAUUACAGGCAUGAGCUACCAUGCCCGGCUAAUUUUUGUAGUUUUAGUACAGAUGGGGUUUCACCAUACUGGCCAGGCUGGUCUCGAACUCCUGACCUCCGGUGAUUCGCCCGCCUCAGCCUCCCAAAGUGCUGGGAUUACAAGCGUGAGCCACCGCGCCCGGCCUCAUGUGAGUUUCUUAAACAUUCUGUAGAAUUAUAUCUUGAAUUAGCUAUAGUAUUUUUGAACAUAUCACUUUGUAUAGGCUUAGUGGUCACUCUAUCACAAUAUAAAUAUAUAACUAGUCACAGUCUAGUGAUAUCAACAAUUUAUACAAUUUAUAUUUUGAAUGAAGUGCAGAAACUUUGCUUCCAUUUAGGUCUCUUUACCCUCCCCACUCCUAAAACAUAUUUAUGUAUUACAUCUAUUUAAAAAUAUAAUUAUAUGCAAAGUGUAUGUAGUGACAAUGUACAUUUCCUCUACAAACACUGAGUACCAUAUCAGAUGAUAAGACUUUGGUUCAACCACCACAUAUUUCUAAAACUGUUGAAGAUAGUCUAUUAUUCUUAUUCCUACUUUUACCUAUUCCAUUGUUCUUUUUUCUUUUUGAAGUUCCAUGUCUUCUGUUAUAAUUUCCUUUGUUUGGAGAACUUCCAUCAGCCAUUCUUUGAGAGUAGGUCUGCUAGCAUCAAAUUCUCUGUUUUCUUUGUGUAAAAAUGUCUUUAUUUCUCCUUCAUUCCUCAAGGAUAUCGUCACCAGAGAUAGAAUUUGUAAUUGAUAGUUAUCUUCUUGAGAUAACUUGAAAAAUAUUGUGCCACUGCCUUCUGACCUCCAUUGUUUCAGGUGAAAAAUUUGCUGCCAUUCAAAUUGGUGUUCCCCUAUAUACAACACAUCAUUUCUCUGUAGCCACUUUCAAGACUUUUCCUUUUAGUUUUCAAAAGUUUCAUUAAGAUGUGUCUUAGCAGGUCAGGCACGGUGGCUCAUGCCUGUAAUCCCAGCACUUUGGGAGGCCGAGGCGGGGGGAUUACCUGAGGUCAGGAGUUCAAGACCAGCCUGGCCAGCACGGUGAAUCCCCAUCUCUACUAAAAAUACAAAAAUUAGCUGGGUGUGAUGGUAGGUGCCUGUAAUCCCAGCUACUCGGGAGGCUGAGGCAGGAGAAUCACUUGAAACCGGGAGGCGGAGGUUGCAGUGAGGCGAGAUUACGCCACUGCACUCCAGCCUGGGCGACAGAGUGAGAC